CAGUAGCCGCGGUAAUACGUAGGGUGCAAGCGUUAAUCGGAAUUACUGAGCGUAAAGCGUGCGCAGGCGGUUCGUUAAGACAGAUGUGAAAUCCCCGGGUUUAACCUGGGAACUGCAUUUGUGACUGGCGGGCUAGAGUAUGGCAGAGGGGGGUAGAAUUCCACGUGUAGCAGUGAAAUGCGUAGAGAUGUGGAGGAAUACCGAUGGCGAAGGCAGCCCCCUGGGCCAAUACUGACGCUCAUGCACGAAAGCGUGGGGAGCAAACAGGAUUAGAUACCCCAGUAGUCCCUGUCUCUUAUAA
RNAcentral lists this ribosomal RNA (301 nucleotides) under uncultured bacterium. RNAcentral's name for it is "partial 16S ribosomal RNA". It matches the Rfam family "Bacterial small subunit ribosomal RNA", at positions 509 to 809 of the family's 1533-position model. The record is from RNAcentral.